UUAGGCUAUUUUCAUAGUUUAUAAUUCAGACUUCAAUAGAUAUUUCAAGGUUUUAAAUUUUUGGCCAUUGGCAAGUAACACAUCAACUAAUUGAAUAGCCGAUGGGGAAGAAGAAGAUUAAUUCUUUUUUCCGCGACCUGCCAAAGCAACAAUUGGUAUAACAAGCAAGGGGUGGAGAGGUUGUCGCUAAAAUAAAUUCUAGACGACAGGUAUCUCUUUUAAUGAUCCUUCCGCAGGUUCACCUACGGAAA
This 251-nucleotide unclassified non-coding RNA is filed under the name uncultured fungus. RNAcentral's name for it is "sequence contains ITS1". Lineage: Eukaryota; Fungi. The record is from RNAcentral.